Molecule: ribosomal RNA, 253 nt
Filed under: uncultured bacterium
Lineage: Bacteria
Description: partial 16S ribosomal RNA
Rfam family: Bacterial small subunit ribosomal RNA
Source: RNAcentral
GACGAACCGAGCGAACGUUAUUCGGAAUCACUGGGCUUAAAGGGCGCGUAGGCGGGCCGCCAAGUCGAGGGUGAAAGCCCCCAGCUCAACUGGGGAAGUGCCUCCGAUACUGGCGGCCUCGAGGGAGAUAGGGGCGUGCGGAACUUCCGGUGGAGCGGUGAAAUGCGUAGAGAUCGGAAAGAACACCAACGGCGAAAGCACUCUGCUGGGCCGACACUGACACUGAGAGACGAAAGCUAGGGGAGCGAAUGGG